AAGAUUACUUGCAAGCAAGGCACAUUGAAACCCCCUCCACUUUAUAGCAUACGAUAAUUUCUAUAAAAGCAAUUUGUUUCCCAGUUUCCCGGUUUACCUGAAAUCUCCUGAAAAGUCGCGUUUUGCAAUUUAAUCUCGGCAAGCACGAAAAUGGUAGCAGCGCAUCUCGGACGCUAUGGAGGUCGCACAGGAAGCAAGAGACUGUUCAAGCUCUGAGAUUCAUUCUUCGCAACUCACAGUCGAUACCCCUCUUUCACUACCUGAUAAUGAUAUGUCUCCCC
Molecule: unclassified non-coding RNA, 281 nt
Filed under: Hevea brasiliensis (rubber tree)
Lineage: Eukaryota; Viridiplantae; Streptophyta; Magnoliopsida; Malpighiales; Euphorbiaceae
Source: RNAcentral